UUCCUUCAGAAGCUCUUUCUCUGGAAUUGCUUUGAUUGUUGAAUCAGAUUCCUUCUUUUCUUCACUGAUCUCACUCUCUUUAUCUUCCAUUUCCUUCCCUUUCUUUAUCUCUUCUUCUUUCUCAACAUGUGGCUUAGGUGUUGGCUGCUCAAUUUUCUUACCACUCCUUAGAGUGAUCAAGGCUUUGACAUCUUUCACCUGUGAUGAUUCUCCCUCAUGACUUUCCACUUCAUGGACACCUUUGGGAUUUUGGUUAGGUUGAGAAGGAAAUCUUCCCUUUUCUUGCAGUGUAUUCAAAUUUGUAAGCCUGGAGAUUGAAUAUUGGAUGUUAUCAAA
RNAcentral lists this long non-coding RNA (336 nucleotides) under Vitis vinifera (wine grape). Its description in RNAcentral is "long non-coding RNA (VVIN_LNC005836)". Lineage: Eukaryota; Viridiplantae; Streptophyta; Magnoliopsida; Vitales; Vitaceae. The record is from RNAcentral.